Molecule: ribosomal RNA, 301 nt
Filed under: uncultured bacterium
Lineage: Bacteria
Description: partial 16S ribosomal RNA
Rfam family: Bacterial small subunit ribosomal RNA
Source: RNAcentral
CAGCAGCCGCGGGAAUACGGAGGGUGCAAGCGUUAAUCGGAAUUACUGGGCGUAAAGCGCACGCAGGCGGUUUGUUAAGUCAGAUGUGAAAUCCCCGAGCUUAACUUGGGAACUGCAUUUGAAACUGGCAAGCUAGAGCCUUGUAGAGGGGGGUAGAAUUCCAGGUGUAGCGGUGAAAUGCGUAGAGAUCUGGAGGAAUACCGGUGGCGAAGGCGGCCCCCUGGACAAAGACUGACGCUCAGGUACGAAAGCGUGGGGAGCAAACAGGAUUAGAGACCCCGGUAGUCCCUGUCUCUUAUAC